AUUGAACGCUGGCGGCAGGCCUAACACAUGCAAGCCGAGCGGAUGAAGGGAGCUUGCUCCUGGAUUCAGCGGCGGACGGGUGAGUAAUGCCUAGGAAUCUGCCUGGUAGCGGGGGAUAACGUCCGGAAACGGGCGCUAAUACCGCAUACGUCCUGAGGGAGAAAGUGGGGGAUCUUCGGACCUCACGCUAUCAGAUGAGCCUAGGUCGGAUUAGCUAGUUGGUGGGGUAAAGGCCUACCAAGGCGACGAUCCGUAACUGGUCUGAGAGGAUGAUCAGUCACAUUGGAACUGCGACACGUUCCGGACUACUACGGGAGGCAGCAGCGGGGAAUAUUGGACAAUGGGCGCAGACCUGAUCCAGCCAUGCCGAGUGUGUGAAGAAGGUCUUCGGAUUGUAAAGCACUUUAAGUUGGGAGGAAGGGCAGUAAGUUAAUACCUUGCUGUUUUGACGUUACCAACAGAAUAAGCACCGCCUAACUUCGUG
This 484-nucleotide ribosomal RNA is filed under the name uncultured bacterium. RNAcentral's name for it is "partial 16S ribosomal RNA". It matches the Rfam family "Bacterial small subunit ribosomal RNA", at positions 30 to 507 of the family's 1533-position model. The record is from RNAcentral.